GAUGAACUCUGGCGGCGUGCCUAAUACAUGCAAGUCGAGCGAACGGACGAGAAGCUUGCUUCUCUGAUGUUAGCGGCGGACGGGUGAGUAACACGUGGAUAACCUACCUAUAAGACUGGGAUAACUUCGGGAAACCGGAGCUAAUACCGGAUAAUAUUUUGAACCGCAUGGUUCAAAAGUGAAAGACGGUCUUGCUGUCACUUAUAGAUGGAUCCGCGCUGCAUUAGCUAGUUGGUAAGGUAACGGCUUACCAAGGCAACGAUGCAUAGCCGACCUGAGAGGGUGAUCAGCCACACUGGAACUGAGACACGGUCCAGACUCCUACGGGAGGCAGCAGUAGGGAAUCUUCCGCAAUGGGCGAAAGCCUGACGGAGCAACGCCGCGUGAGUGAUGAAGGUCUUCGGAUCGUAAAACUCUGUUAUUAGGGAAGAACAUAUGUGUAAGUAACUGUGCACAUUUUGACGGUACCUAAUCAGAAAGCCACGGCUAACUACGUG
RNAcentral lists this ribosomal RNA (497 nucleotides) under uncultured bacterium. RNAcentral describes it as "partial 16S ribosomal RNA". It matches the Rfam family "Bacterial small subunit ribosomal RNA", at positions 28 to 507 of the family's 1533-position model. The record is from RNAcentral.